UUGUAUUGGUGAAAAGAAGUAUAAAGAGUAUUCUAAGCAAACCCAAGGGAGAGUGCAAAGCAGAGGAAAACAUUGGCCAAGUGUCCUUAAACCUUAGUACUAUGCACAAUAGUACAUUUUAACAACCCAGAUUUCCCAAGCUGAUACUCAUUUUAAUACCUGAGACCACAGUAUUUUGUUGUUUCCAUAGUGAUACUAAGUAACAGAAGUACUUAAAUAGUAGACUAGCCUUAAAUUCAUUUGUAGCCCAGGUUGGCUGUAAACUCAGCAAUCCUCCUGCAUCAGGCUCCCAAGUUCUGGGUGAUAGCAAGUUCAUGUGUACCAAAAAGAUUUUUCAUCAAGUACAUCUUUGCUUCAGCUUGACACAGAAACCUGGUGAAAGUAUGAACAUCACACAAACACGGCUCUUAAAAUCUCUAAAUUAUUUUCAUUUUAAUAUAAAUCAAAGUAUUUCAAGUAUACUUUUCUAAUUACCCCCCCUCCUGUGAAUUCAGCUAAUUAUAGUUCAUUUAACCUAAGCUUUGCCUUUUCACCUCUUUUCAGAAGCAGUAUCAGGCCUGCCAAUUUUUUUUUGUCAAUAUUAUUUCCUCUGUAUUUGUACAUCAAUUUGACACUGAUUACCAUAUUUGAUCCAUCUCUUUGCUGACUUAUUGGCCUAAAUAGUAAUUUAUAUUCUCUUAUGUACACAUUUUCUUGCAAUAUUAUGCCUAAAUAUAGAACAAACAUACUUUGUAGGGAAAUAUAGUAUGUUCAGAAUGGGAUUUGUUAUUUUUAAACUUUCCCAGAUACUGUUGUUUUUGUUUGCCUGUUUGUUUUUGAGACAGGGUCUCAAGUAGCCCAGACUGGCCUCAAACUCGAUAUGUAGCCAAGGAUGACCUUGAAGGGUUUUUGGCAUAUUUUUAUAUGGAUGGAUGCAUGUCUGAGUAUAGGUAUAUGCAUGUGAGUGUACAUACCAUGGAGGUCAGAAAGGGGCUAGAGCUGGAGUUACAGGUAUUUUAGAGCAGCCCAGUAUGAAUCUAGAACCUGGAUCUAGAAACCGAAUCCUCUGGAAGAGCACAGUGCUCUCUUAGACACUCAGCCUUCUCUCCAGCCCUGACCUGAACUUUUGAUCCUCCACCUCUCAAGUGCCGGAGUUACAGGCUUGUGCCAGCAAUCCUGGUUUAUAUCGUGCUGAGGGUUUCCAGCUGCAUCCCAAACACUUAUUUUAUUCUUUAAUGUUGUGUUUGAAAUUAAAUCUCAGUUUUCUCUCACAUUACACAGUUCUUCACAGACAAAGGUAUGUGGGGAUGGCACCAACUCAGCAUCAUCCAAGUCUGGAUUCUGCAGGACCCUUGGAGGAUCAGCAUUCAUUCUCCAAGUGUGCUCCACUCAAAACUACCUGUAUAUACCUUGGCCAUGGGUCUGCUUGCAGGUUUGACAGCAUAAGACAUUGAACAGACCACCUGGGCUUCCGUUCAUACCCUUGUUUAUUUCUGUCAGGCUGGCUCACUCUGAUACAUAAUCAUGCACUCACCUCACCAUGAGUCACUCACUCUCCAGCCAUUCCUCACUCCCCUCAGCUUCUCCCUUUAACUUAAAAAUGUGAAGGCUAAUGGCCAAGAAUAUGGAGGUGGAUCAGGUAAUCUUUGAAACCAUACUUUCUGCCAUAGUUGAAGAAAGGAAAAGGUAGUCAGCAACCCAGAAAGAUUGUAAGACACCCCACAUCUUUCCAGACACACCACCUCCCUGGGGAAUGGUCUGAAUGCCCCAGCUAACUGAAGGCUGCCAUCAGCUGUAUAGCUUUCUGGCAUAUGAGAAAAGCUGCCUGGAACUCUACAAAUAUAGUUGCAAAAUGCUCAUGGGAAUAAUCUUUUAACCAGUGUUCCAGUGAGGACACUGUGCUGCUCAUUUUGAAAGAAAUGAAUAGUGAAAAAAGGACUCACUCUUUGCCCCCAUGAAGGCAACCAGCCAGUGACUAUGAACCUUAAGUUAGUGACAUCUGGACCUUGACAUGAAAUAUACCCACUGUGCCCCAAGUAGCAGUGCCCUAAUAUCCAACAUGUCAACUGCAGAACACAUUAACUGUUCCCACAUAGCUGAUGCUGUGCUCAGUUCACCUGUGGCUCUCUCCUUCACAGGCUCCAAAUCCAGCUUCUUCAAGAGUCCUACUGUUACCAGCCCUUAGAUUCUCUUUUCAGACUAUCUACAGAAUUGAAAAGGAAACCCAAAGCCUAUGUACAGAUUGGCUGGUGGCUGGACUCAAAGCCACCCCAAGAGGGAAACUGCAAAGGGACAGUUCAAGGUUGACCAUAUUCCAUGCUGCCUAUUUCUGUCAUAGCUAGUACUGAGCAAAAGUGCUUUCUCACCCCAAUACUCUUAGAAGAAAGACCAAGAAGACCAAUUUACCACAUAAUGAAGGGCCAGCAACACCCACCCAAAUAAAGGAGUGAUAUUAAGUAAAGAACAUUGACAAUCACCACACAGGUGGAAAAUGUCUGCAAACUCUAGUGACUGAUUCUGGAAAGAAGCAAACAUUCUAAGAUGGGAGAGAAACCGUCGAGAGAAACAUGUUGGGAGAAGAAUGCAUACAAUGGAGUCAGUACUGUUGGGCCCCUAGAUCAUCAAAGAUCACUUGUUUUCACUGAGUGGAUGUUCCCCUGGGCUUGUUGGUCACAUCUGGCCAAAGCAAAUCACACUGCAAAGAGUGAGGUCUACAGACGACAGAGGAAUAGGUUUAAUCUUGAUUUUACUGACAGUCACAGGAAGUGAAGAAGAAUCUGUUCAAGUUUUCCAGCUCAGUUUAUUAAGACAAUCUGAACCUUUGGAAUCUGAAAUUAUCACACAAGGGAGACAAGUUGAAGGCUCAAAGUCAUCUGAUUGGAGCACCGAGAGGAAUGUGACCUCGUUUUCAACCCCAGGAGAGUGAAACAGGAUAUAUUGGUCUAAUCAGAACUGCAUUUUCUAAAGUUCAUUCUGGUUGCUUUGCAGAAAAUAGAUCUGAGAGAAGCAAAUGUGAAUGUACGAAAAUGAGAGGUUGCUGCUGUUGUAAAAGUGACUGUGGCUUACACCAAAGACUUCCAGGAGAUAUGGAGAGAUUCCAAUGGGGAGAAAGACAUAUAUAUUAUAUUUUAUAUACAGUUUGUCUGUGAUGGUUUGAAUAGGAAUGGUCCCCCAUAGGCUCAUG
Molecule: small RNA, 3163 nt
Filed under: Rattus norvegicus (Norway rat)
Lineage: Eukaryota; Metazoa; Chordata; Mammalia; Rodentia; Muridae
Description: uncharacterized LOC102549184
Source: RNAcentral